This 79-nucleotide transfer RNA is filed under the name archaeon. RNAcentral's name for it is "tRNA-Ser". It matches the Rfam family "tRNA". Rfam says of the family: Transfer RNA (tRNA) molecules are approximately 80 nucleotides in length. Their secondary structure includes four short double-helical elements and three loops (D, anti-codon, and T loops). Further hydrogen bonds mediate the characteristic L-shaped molecular structure. tRNAs have two regions of fundamental functional importance: the anti-codon, which is responsible for specific mRNA codon recognition, and the 3' end, to which the tRNAs corresponding amino acid is attached (by aminoacyl-tRNA synthetases). tRNAs cope with the degeneracy of the genetic code in two manners: having more than one tRNA (with a specific anti-codon) for a particular amino acid; and 'wobble' base-pairing, i.e. permitting non-standard base-pairing at the 3rd anti-codon position. The record is from RNAcentral. RNAcentral also lists the same sequence under 2 other names.
GCCCACAUCGUAUAAUGGUAUUGCACCGGUCUAGAAAACCGGGCCUUCGGGCAUCCCGGUUCGAUUCCGGGUGUGGGCG